GACGAAGGAUGCAAGCGUUAUCCGGAUUCAUUGGGUUUAAAGGGUGCGUAGGCGGCUUGUUAAGUCAGGAGUGAAAGUUUGCGGCUCAACCGUAAAAUUGCUUUUGAUACUGGCAGGCUAGAAUUAGGAUGAGGUUAGCGGAAUGUGGCAUGUAGCGGUGAAAUGCAUAGAUAUGCCAUAGAACACCAAUUGCGAAGGCAGCUGGCUAGACCUAUAUUGACGCUGAGGCACGAAAGCGUGGGGAGCGAACAGG
RNAcentral lists this ribosomal RNA (253 nucleotides) under uncultured bacterium. Its description in RNAcentral is "partial 16S ribosomal RNA". It matches the Rfam family "Bacterial small subunit ribosomal RNA", at positions 524 to 776 of the family's 1533-position model. The record is from RNAcentral.